AUUGAACGCUGGCGGCAGGCCUAACACAUGCAAGUCGAGCGGAUGACGGGAGCUUGCUCCUUGAUUCAGCGGCGGACGGGUGAGUAAUGCCUAGGAAUCUGCCUGGUAGUGGGGGACAACGUUUCGAAAGGAACGCUAAUACCGCAUACGUCCUACGGGAGAAAGCAGGGGACCUUCGGGCCUUGCGCUAUCAGAUGAGCCUCGGUCGGAUUAGCUAGUUGGUGGGGUAAUGGCUCACCAAGGCGACGAUCCGUAACUGGUCUGAGAGGAUGAUCAGUCAGACUGGAACUGAGACACGGUCCAGACUCCUACGGGAGGCAGCAGUGGGGAAGAUUGGACAAUGGGCGUAAGCCUGAUCCAGCCAUGCCGCGUGUGUGAAGAAGGUCUUCGGAUUGUAAAGCACUUUAAGUUGGGAGGAAGGGCAGUAAGUUAAUACCUUGCUGUUUUGACGUUACCGACAGAAUAAGCACCGGCUAACUCUGUGCCAGCAGCAGCCGCGG
Molecule: ribosomal RNA, 500 nt
Filed under: uncultured bacterium
Lineage: Bacteria
Description: partial 16S ribosomal RNA
Rfam family: Bacterial small subunit ribosomal RNA
Source: RNAcentral